GCUGCUCUGUCUGUCUGUCUACCUGCGAUAACAAUAAAAAAGCUAUCGCUAAGUAAAAUUUACUUAGUGGUGCAUAAUAACAAUUUAAAAUGCGGUAUAUAAAACUUUUAUUGACAAUUUACAGUUCAAAUAAUUCACAAUUUCAUGCCACAAUUUUCAUAAUUCAUAUAACACAAAUUUAAUCAAACAAUUGAACAACACAGUAUUGCCAAUCAAUAGCACAACUUAGGUCAUGACACAAACUUUUCCGAACAUGCCGUGUUAUACACCACGACAAGGCAAACUCAC
RNAcentral lists this unclassified non-coding RNA (288 nucleotides) under Hevea brasiliensis (rubber tree). The record is from RNAcentral. Lineage: Eukaryota; Viridiplantae; Streptophyta; Magnoliopsida; Malpighiales; Euphorbiaceae.